RNAcentral lists this ribosomal RNA (449 nucleotides) under uncultured bacterium. RNAcentral describes it as "partial 16S ribosomal RNA". It matches the Rfam family "Bacterial small subunit ribosomal RNA", at positions 29 to 523 of the family's 1533-position model. The record is from RNAcentral.
AGCGAACAUUGGCGGUAGGCUUAACACAUGCAAGUCGAGCGAUGCGUAAUAGUCGAGCGGCGAACGGGUGAGUAACACGUGGGAAUCUACCUCGAAGUGGGGGAUAACGUCCAGAAAUGGACGCUAAUACCGCAUAAUCCAUAUUGGGAAAGCGCGCUGCGCUUUGAGAUGAGCCCAUGGCUGAUUAGCUAGUUGGUGAGGUAACGGCUUACCAAGGCGACGAUCAGUAGCUGGUCUGAGAGGAUGAUCAGCCACACUGGAACUGAGACACGGUCCAGACUCCUACGGGAGGCAGCAGUGGGGAAUCUUGCGCAAUGGGGGCAACCCUGACGCAGCCAUACCGCGUGUGUGAUGAAGGUCUUCGGAUUGUAAAGCACUUUCAGUAGGGACGACGAUGACGGUACCUACAGAAGAAGUCACGGCUAACUUCGUGCCAGCAGCCGCCGUAA